GUGACACGUCCAAUUAUCGCGAUGGCAAAUAAAUUCGAUUUGAAAUCGUUUGCUUUCCAGUUAACACGCCUGGAAAUAUUUUCUUUGCACUUUACUCAACGCCAUCUAGCAUGAGUCAAUGUACUCUUUUGAUUUUAAUAGUGAAUUCUGCGUGAACGGAAUAAUAUUGAAUGAACAAUCACCGAUUAUUGAAAAUUCGGCUAAUUUAUAUCGAAGAAUGAAGAUAAAGGACAGAUACAAAGAGAAGCUUCGAGAAAAAUGAAUUUAGCAAUUCUUUUUGUUCGAAAUGUGAAAUCAAUGUGACUUUUACAAUUAUUCGCAUGAUUGCAAUCGUUUUCUACAAAGAACAGAAAGAGAAGAAAGAACACGUUCGUCAAUUGGUAAAGAGGGAAUCAUUCGCAAGCAGAAAUUUUCCAUUGGCUGAAGACCAACAAUGUCAAUGGCUUUUCCAGACAACGAUGCGUUGGAGGAAAAUUUUAUUCGCGGAGAAAUCUUGGAGACUUGUGCAAUACAGGAUGGCAAUUAGAGAAUCAAACGUCCUGCAUCUUCAACGAAUAAUUGCUACGCGUGCACAGAAUCAUUAUCCUGGAACUGGUUUCUGCUGACACGUCUGCUUUUCAGUUAGAGCAAGUGACAUGUACAGACUUGACUAGAUGGAAUUUAUUUAGAAAGUACAAUUAGUUAACCUUAUAAAUUCUAAUUUAAUUUGAAGAAAUCUUUCAUAUGGAACUGAUUUAAUUUUGUGCUUUCUUCUACAUAAAUAUAAUACCAAUUUAAAUACCAAUUUAAAAUAAUAUAUAUAUCCAUAUUAUUAUGCUUAUUGAGAAAAAAUUUUUUUAUUUUAAGACUUAUACCAUAAAUUAAUAAUUAAAUAGGUUAUAAUUUUCGAUUUUUAUAAACCUUAAAAAAAAUAUCAACUUACCUCCAAGUGAGAUUCCGAUGUGGCCAUUGUUGCCCAUGGAUCGUGUACCGUUUAUGCCUGACCCUAGUAUAUCUAGGAUCUACUUUAUCCGGAAGUCCGCACCGCGGAAGCCUCAUUAAUUUCAUAGUAGCUUCGUCGAUAUCACCAGUUACAGGAAUGCCACCGAAUCUCUAAUGCAAAAAAUAAUAUAGGAUAAAAUAAAAUUAUUUUUAUUUUCUAAAUGUAACAUGUCAAUGUUUACAAUAUAAUCAUAUUUUGUGAAACAUUUAUAGAAACUAAAAAUAUUUAAGUAAGUUUUAAUAAUGUCAAUAACAAUUAUUUAAAAAGGUGCAUAUUGAAUAGGGUGCAUUAAAAAAAAUAGGUUAAUAUUCAUUAGAAUUAAAAUGAUAAAUUAUAAAUAUUUUUUUCAUUUUAACACAAAAUAUUUAUUUUUAAAAGGAAGUAUUAAAUAUAUAUAUGUUUUAAACAA
Long non-coding RNA from Apis cerana (Asiatic honeybee), 1391 nucleotides. RefSeq lists it as uncharacterized. The record is from RefSeq and is a predicted model, not a curated record. Lineage: Eukaryota; Metazoa; Arthropoda; Insecta; Hymenoptera; Apidae.